GCCAUUUGUAAUGCCAAUCGCUUGUGGCUUUUAGUGUUUAAGUUUCUUUCGGGAAUUUUACACUAAUAAGAUGGCAUUAAAUUCGACUUUUGACGGCUGGAAACAUUGGGAGAAACACGGACGCAGUGAAUACGUGAAGCUCAUCAGACAUGCUUUACGUGAUGAGGACAGUGCAAGGAAUGAAUCGCUCAAAGGGAACCUUUCCCGGCCAAUUUAUGAUUUAUUUUGGCAAUGCUUGAAGGGACGAAUACGCAGGGAUUCGGUUAUUUCCGCUUUGAAUGAUAUCUUGAGUCUGCACUGGGACCUUGCUUCUCACGUCCUUGAUGUGAUUAAUAUCAUCGACGCGGAAACGUCUCUGUUGUCGGACGGGCUCACAGACGAAAGACAGAUAUUUUGUCAGGUGGUGAAGGACAUUGAGAAAGUGAUUCCAGACAAACUUCUCAAGGAGAGACUCGAAAUUGACACCUUGCAAGAUGCCGGCACGGUGAAGAAUAAGAUUUUCUACACAAAGUUCAUUAAAAUUAAGACCAAACUAUAUUAUAAGCAGCGGCGAUUCAAUUUGUUCAGGGAAGAGUCUGAAGGUUAUGCGAAGCUUAUCACAGAAUUGAACCAAGAUUUCGGGGCGAGUUCAUCCGUGGCCAUUCUCGAUAUCAUAAAAUCUCUGAUAGGUUGCUUCAAUUUGGAUCCUAAUCGAGUUCUUGACAUUAUAUUGGAAUCUUUUGAAACGAGACCUGAAAGACACACAUUGUUCAUACCAUUGUUGCAGUCUUACAUGCGAAACGGAAACAUAAUCUGUGAAGUUCUGGGGUACAAAUUUCGUUAUUUCAGUGAAAGUACAACACCUGAAUCAUUGUAUAAAAUUACCGCGUUACUACUUAAGUACUCAGUCAUUGAUUUGGAUGAAAUUUACGCAUGGUUAAGCCCAUCAGAUAAGUCCAUAUGCCAAGACUGGGAGAAAGAGUUGAAUGAAGCAAAGGAGUUUGUGCGAAAGUUGAAUAUAAUUUUAACAAACAAAGAAAAGGAACCUGAACAAGAACCCGAAAAGGAGGACACAAUGGGAAAAUAUUUAAUGAAUCAGAAAUGGGGACUUUGUGAAGCACUUCUAAAAGUUGGUGAUUGGACGACGGCGCAGAAUUUGAUGAAAAAACUUCCAGAACAGUGCGCUGUUGUCAAUGAGCCCAUUGCAAAGGCGCUAGCCAAUUACAUUAACAUAAGCAUAGAUAGUCUGUAUCGCAAGAAAUGCUUUUUGCCUGGCAUACUCAAGAGUGUGCUGUGUUCCUCGGAGUUUAAUCUGGUGGAGGAACUUCAAGUUAAUGAUUUCAGUGAGCUUCGAGAAAAAGCCUUUCCAAUGAUUGCAGCGCUAGGACCAUCUUUACACUACGAUUCGAUUCUCCUUCAAAAGCUGAUUCGUAUCAUGCGGACCAUUCUCUCCGAUAUGAAUAUUGACCAUUUGAAUACGCCGCCGAACGGAACUACUGCGGAAAUAAUGUAUUUUGAUAUUUUAUCACUUUUAGACUCAUCAAUUUUGCCAGCUCUUUCAUAUUUGGACUGCAAUUGUUGUGUAGCAGAAGAAAUAUGGACAGUCGUUAAGUUUUAUCCUUAUCAAUUUAGAUAUAGUUUAUACAGUCGAUGGAAAAACGAAACUUAUUUGAGCCACCCGAUGUUAAUUCGCCGCCGCGGAAUAGUACAAAAAAAUAUAAAGUCGCUAAUGAAACGUGUCAGCAAAGAGAACGUCAAACCGGUUGGGCGGUUGAUAGGAAAAUUGAGUCACUCCGCUCCUGGAUUUUUAUUUGAUUAUAUUUUACUUCAAAUACAAAUUUACGAUAACCUCAUUACACCGGUGGUCGAUUCAUUAAAGUAUCUGACUUCUCUGUCCUAUGAUAUGCUCGGAUACUGCUUGAUCGAGUCGUUAGCUGUAGCUGAUAGGGAUAGGUUUAAGCACGACGGUACGUCACUGUCGAUGUGGCUGCAGAGUUUGGCGAACUUCUGUGGUGCCAUUUAUAAAAAAUAUAAUAUUGAGCUCAGUGGAUUGCUGCAGUAUGUCGCGAAUCAAUUGAAGUCUCAUAAAAGUUUGGAUCUAUUGAUCUUGAAAGAAGUUGUACAAAAAAUGACGGGAAUUGAAGCCGCCGAGGAAAUGACCAAUGAGCAGUUGAACGCAAUGUCGGGAGGAGAAUUGUUGCGCGGAGAAGCGGGUUACUUCAGUCAAGUUCGAAAUACAAAAAAGUCGUCGCAGAGGCUGAAAGAAGCUCUGGCAAGCAACGAUUUAGCAGUGGCUCUAUGUUUGCUCAUGGCGCAACAAAAACAUUGUGUUAUAUACCGUGAAACUGCUCAGAAUCACUUAAAGCUUGUUGGAAAGUUAUACGAUCAAUGUCAGGAUACUCUGGUCCAAUUCGGUACUUUCCUCGGUUCCACCUAUUCCGUUGAUGAAUAUGUCGAAAGGUUGCCAUCUAUUCAUUCGAUGCUCCAAGAGUAUCACAUUCAUUCGGAUGUAGCUUUCUUCCUAGCUCGGCCAAUGUUUUCACAUCAGAUAAAUCAAAAGUACGAUCAAUUACGAAAAUCGGAUCCCAACGCUAAGAAGCUAACGACGAACCAGAAAUUGCAGAAAUAUUUAGAAGCUACAGCAGCUGUGAUGGAUCCAAUUGUUGAAUCCGUUCGACCAUUACAUGUCCCUAAAGUUUGGGAAGAUAUUAGCCCGCAGUUCCUAGUGACGUUCUGGUCUCUGAGUAUGUACGAUUUGCAAGUUCCAACGGAUAGUUAUCAAAAGGAAAUUGCCAAGUUGAAACAGCUUUCGUUGUCAGUGUUGGAGUCAAAGGAUGUGAAUAUAUCGAAAGGUAAAAAGGAGCAAGAACGAUACAUGGCCUUAAUGGAAAAAUUGCAAGAUGAAAGGAAGAAACAUCAGGAACAUGUCGACAAGAUGUUGCAACGUCUCAAUCAGGAGAAAGACACAUGGUUUCUGUCAAGAUCAGCAAAAUCAGCUAAAAAUGAAACAAUUUCACAGUUCCUGCAGCUUUGCCUAUUUCCAAGAUGCACCUUUACCGCACUGGAUGCCAUCUAUUGCGCCAAGUUUGUUCACACAAUCCACAACUUAAAAGCAGCUAAUUUUUCAACCUUAUUGUGCUAUGAUCGGAUAUUUUGUGAUAUAACUUACUCCGUCACAUCGUGUACUGAAAACGAAGCCACUCGUUACGGCAGAUUCCUUUGUGCUAUGCUGGAAACUGUGAUGAAAUGGCACGCGGACCAAACAACCUUCAACAGGGAGUGUGCUAAUUACCCUGGUUUUGUGACUAAAUUCCGAGUAAGCAAUCAGUUUUCAGAGGCAAAUGAUCAUGUGGGAUAUGAAAACUAUCGUCACGUUUGCCAUAAGUGGCAUUACAAAAUCACAAAAGCAAUUCUGUUUUGUUUGGACUCUAAGGAUUACAUGCAGAUUCGGAAUGCGUUGAUAAUACUGAUGCGAAUAUUACCCCAUUUCCCGGUUCUUACAAAACUGGCGCAAAUAAUAGAGAGGAAGGUUGAGAAGGUUCGGGAGGAGGAAAAAAAUCACAGGCCAGAUUUGUUUGUGCUUGCUUCAAGCUAUAUUGGGCAGUUGAAGACCAAAUCACCACAGAUGAUCAAGGAAAGCGACUUCCACCAAGUUUCGGAGAAACCAAGCAAAGAUGCAGUCGACAACAAAUCAGUCACGAACGGAGAUGUUAAAACAGAAAAACGUGAGAAAGAUAAGACCGACCGAAAAGCAACGAAACUAACCAGCGCAGAGAAGGACAUUCGGAUAGAUAUCAAGGAAGAAGUUGUUGAGAAAGAAAAAUCGAGCAAAGAAAUUAAAAAGGAGGAACGAGCGAGAGAGAAAGAACGGGAACGAGAGGAUGAUGCCAGGAAAAAGGAGAAACGGAAGGAAUACCGUCUCGAAUCGCCAAGCUUGAAUGAAACCCCCCUUUUGGAUAAGCACUUCGUAUCUGAGUAUUACGACUAUGACAAAGAGCCCGAUCGUGACAGGGAUUUGAGUUCGGUUUCAAAUUCAAGUACAGGAUCUUUACAACGUCGUAAUCAGGAUAUUAUCGAAUAUGAGAAAGUUGACGUAAAGCGACGAAAGGUGGAUUCAAGCAGUUCCAAGAAAGUCGAAGAGUCCAGUGUUGAUGUCAAAAAGGAAAGAAGUUCCAAGACAAAAGAACGAAAGGAGAAACUUUCAGAUGAAGAGAAAGAUGCUCGAAAAGAACGAAAGCUAGGACGUAAAAGGGAGAGGAUGGAGGAAAAUCUUACGAAUGACCAUAAGAGGCGGAGAGAAGGCAGUGAUUGUAGGAUCAACGGCGAAAGUAUUAAUAGAAAUAUUGGAAAUCGUCAGAAUAGCGAAAAUUGAGUAAAAAAAAGUUCAGUUAAUCAAAAUGGGGAUGAUGAUUGUCGUGAUAAAUAUCACUUAAGGGAAAAGUCACCGCAUUCACGGGAAACUAAGGAGCGAUCACAUGAUAAGUUUGAACGUGAAAAGCAGUAUAACUUUACAAAAUCAUCAAGAUCG
Molecule: unclassified non-coding RNA, 4507 nt
Filed under: Hermetia illucens (black soldier fly)
Lineage: Eukaryota; Metazoa; Arthropoda; Insecta; Diptera; Stratiomyidae
Description: tHO complex subunit 2, transcript variant X1
Source: RNAcentral